GAUGAAGAACGUAGCGAAAUGCGAUAAGUAAUGUGAAUCGCAGAAUUCAGUGAAUCAUCGAAUCUUUGAACGCACAUUGCGCCCGCCAGUAUUCUGGCGGGCAUGCCUGUUCGAGCGUCAUUACAACCCUCAGGCCCCCGGGCCUGGCGUUGGGGAUCGGCGGAGCCCCCCGUGGGCACACGCCGUCCCCCAAAUGCAGUGGCGGUCCCGCCGCAGCUUCCAUCGCGUAGUAGCUAACACCUCGCGACUGGAGAGCGGCGCGGCCACGCCGUAAAACACCCAACUCUUCUGAAGUUGACCUCGAAUCAGGUAGGAAUACCCGCUGAACUUAAGCAUAUCAAUAAGCGAGGA
This 351-nucleotide unclassified non-coding RNA is filed under the name soil metagenome. RNAcentral's name for it is "partial contains 5.8S ribosomal RNA, internal transcribed spacer 2, and large subunit ribosomal RNA". The stretch from base 1 to 120 matches the Rfam family "5.8S ribosomal RNA", at positions 35 to 154 of the family's 154-position model. The record is from RNAcentral.